GAAAUGCGAUAAGUAAUGUGAAUUGCAGAAUUCAGUGAAUCAUCGAAUCUUUGAACGCACCUUGCGCUCCUUGGUAUUCCUUGGAGUAUGCCUGUUUGAGUAUCAUGAAAUCUUCAAAGUAAAUCUUUUGUUAACUCAAUUGGUUUCUACUUUGGUAUUGGAGGUCUUUGCAGCUUCACACCUGCUCCUCUUUGUUCAUUAGCUGGAUCUCAGUGUUAUGCUUGGUUCCACUCGGCGUGAUAAGUUAUCUAUCGCUGAGGACACUGUAAAAGGUGGCCAAGGUAAAUGCAGAUGAACCGCUUCUAAUAGUCCAUUGACUUGGACAAUACUUUUAUGAUCUGAUCUCAGAUCAGGUAGGACUACCCGCUGAACUUAAGC
RNAcentral lists this unclassified non-coding RNA (378 nucleotides) under plant metagenome. RNAcentral's name for it is "partial contains 5.8S ribosomal RNA, internal transcribed spacer 2, and large subunit ribosomal RNA". The stretch from base 1 to 105 matches the Rfam family "5.8S ribosomal RNA", at positions 50 to 154 of the family's 154-position model. The record is from RNAcentral.